RNAcentral lists this transfer RNA (75 nucleotides) under Marmota monax (woodchuck). Its description in RNAcentral is "tRNA.Gly". The record is from RNAcentral. Lineage: Eukaryota; Metazoa; Chordata; Mammalia; Rodentia; Sciuridae.
GAGGUUGUGGCUCAGUGGUAGAGCACUUGUCUGCCUAGCAUGUGUGAGGCACUGGGUUUGAUUCUCAGCACUGCA